CUGACCGUCACGCGCAGCCCCGCCCCCGCAGCCUUGUCGCUCCUGCUGAGGCGGUAACCGCUCUUCGUCGGCUCUUACCGGUUGGCUGGGCCAGCUGCGCCGCGGCUCACAGCUGACGAUGGGGGAUCCCAGCAAGCAGGACAUCUUGACCAUCUUCAAGCGCCUCCGCUCGGUGCCCACUAACAAGGUGUGUUUUGAUUGUGGUGCCAAAAAUCCCAGCUGGGCAAGCAUAACCUAUGGAGUGUUCCUUUGCAUUGAUUGCUCAGGGUCCCACCGGUCACUUGGUGUUCACUUGAGUUUUAUUCGAUCUACAGAGUUGGAUUCUAACUGGUCAUGGUUUCAGUUGCGUUGCAUGCAAGUUGGAGGAAACGCUAAUGCAUCUUCCUUUUUUCAUCAACAUGGGUGUUCCACCAACGACACCAAUGCCAAGUACAACAGUCGUGCUGCUCAGCUCUAUAGGGAGAAAAUCAAAUCGCUCGCCUCUCAAGCAACACGGAAGCAUGGCACUGAUCUGUGGCUUGAUAGUUGUGUGGUUCCACCUUUGUCCCCUCCACCAAAGGAGGAAGAUUUUUUUGCCUCUCACGUUUCUCCUGAGGUGAGUGACACAGCGUGGGCAUCAGCAAUAGCAGAACCAUCUUCUUUAACAUCAAGGCCUGUGGAAACCACUUUGGAAAAUAAUGAAGGUGGACAAGAGCAAGGACCAAGUGUGGAAGGUCUUAAUGUACCAACAAAGGCUACUUUAGAGGUUUCCUCUAUCAUAAAAAAGAAACCAAAUCAAGCUAAAAAAGGCCUUGGAGCCAAAAAAGGAAGUUUGGGAGCUCAGAAACUGGCAAAUACAUGCUUUAAUGAAAUUGAAAAACAAGCUCAAGCUGCGGAUAAAAUGAAGGAGCAGGAAGACCUGGCCAAGGCGGCACCUAAAGAAGAAUCAAUUGUUUCAUCAUUACGAUUAGCCUAUAAGGAUCUUGAAAUUCAAAUGAAGAAAGAUGAAAAGAUGAACAUUAGUGGCAAAAAAAAUGUUGACUCAGACAGACUCGGCAUGGGAUUUGGAAAUUGCAGAAGUGGUAUUUCACAUUCAGUGACUUCAGAUAUGCAGACCAUAGAGCAGGAAUCACCCAUCAUGGCAAAACCAAGAAGAAAGUAUAAUGAUGACAGUGACGAUUCAUAUUUUACUUCCAGCUCAAGGUACUUUGACGAGCCAGUGGAGUUAAGGAGCAGUUCUUUCUCUAGCUGGGAUGACAGUUCAGAUUCCUAUUGGAAAAAAGAGACCAGCAAAGAUACUGAAACAGUUCUGAAAACUACAGGCUAUUCAGACGGACCUACUGCUCGCCGCAAGCCAGAUUAUGAGCCAGUUGAAAAUACAGAUGAGGCCCAGAAGAAGUUUGGCAAUGUCAAGGCCAUUUCUUCAGAUAUGUAUUUUGGAAGACAAGCCCAAGCUGAUUAUGAGACCAGGGCCCGCCUAGAGAGGCUGUCGGCAAGUUCCUCCAUAAGCUCGGCUGAUCUGUUCGAGGAGCAGAGGAAGCAGGCAGCAGGUAGGGGGCACUGAACAAGAGCUGGUCUCUGUCAUGUCUACGGUAUGAACACAUUUCUUUUUUUUUUUUUUUUUCGAGACAGUCUCGCUGUCGCCCAGGCUAGAGUGCAGUGGCGCGAUCUCGGCUCACUGCAGGCUCCGCCCCCCGGGGAGAAUGGCGUGAGCCCGGGAGGCGGAGCUUGCAGCGAGCGGAGAUCGCAACGCUGCACUCCAGCCUGGGUGACAGAGCGAGACUCCGUCUCAAAAAAAAAAAAAAAAUACAAAAAUUAGCUGGGCAUGGUGGCAUGUGCCUGUAGUUCUAGCUACUCCGGAGGCUGAGGCAGGAGUAUCGCUUGAACCUGGGAGGCGGGGGUUGCAGUGUGCCGAGAUCACGCCGCUGCGCUCGAGCCUGGAGACAGAGCGAGACUCCGUCUCAAAAAAAAAAAAAAAAUUAGCCGGGCGUGGUGGUGGGUGCCUGUAAUCCCAGCUACUCAGGAGGCUGAGGCACAAGAAUUGCUUGAACCUGGGAGGGGGAAGUUGCAGUGGCCGAGAUCACACCACUGCACUCCAGCCUGGGCAAUAGAAUGAGAUUCUGUUUCAAAACCAAAAAAAAAGCAAAAAAAGAAACUAUUCUGCGUGGUGGCUCACCCCUAUAAUCCAGCACUUUGGGAGGCUGAGGAGGACUUAUCGCUUGAGCUCAGGAGUUCCAGACCAGCCUGGGCAACGUGGCAAAACCGUGUCUCUACAAAAAAUACAAAAAUUAGCCAGGCGUGGUGGUGCACGCCUGUAGUCCCAGCUACUCCGGAGGCUAAGGUGGGAGGAUGACUUGAGCCCAGGAGGCAGAGGUUGCAGUGAUCUGAGAUCGUGCCACUACACUCCAGCCUGGGCAAUAGAGCCAGGCCUUGUAUCACAAAAAAAAAAAAAAGGAGGGAGGGAGGGAAGGAAGGAAGGAAGGAAGGAAACAAACAAACAAACAAUCAGUUCUGUGUUCCUUAUCUUGAUUUCCAAAUUUGAAAUGCUUCUGGUGAGGUAAGCUGCUUUCUGGGGGUGUUUCUAGCCCAGGAGCCCUGCGGCCCUUCUUACAGGCACUCUCUUUCACUGUAGCUGAAGGCUUGAGUGGGAAGCGCAUGUAAGUGCCCGCAGCCACCCUGACCUGGCACAGCAGCAGCCCCUGUGGUCACACCCAUGGGACAGGGUCAUUGGAGCUGGGGGGCUGCCAUCAACUGGGCACUGCCUCAGGCAGGCGUGAGGCACUCAGACACCAGAUGACAGAGCGGAGGCCGCUGUGUGAGAGCCAGGAUACAACAAAAAGCUUAAAACCCAGCUUCCCCCUCAGCAUGUUUCCUUCCAGAAAGCCAGUUCUGAUUGUUUGAAUGAGAACACGUCUGCAUGGGAGUGCAGACACCUGCACCCCUUCCUUGUGUGCAUCGUGGGGUCAAGUGGUAGGUUGUUUGUGGGGUCCCUUGACCACUGUCUCCUUUUCUCCUUGCUCCGGCCCAGGGUCUAGGAGUGUGGCCUCGAAAGCACUGCCCUCAGUCUGCGGCAGUCUAGUAUAGUUAUUGCCACGUGUGCUUGUCAGACAGUAUAACUGUGCAGUGGCAUUGCCAACAGAGAUUCAGUUAAAAAACCAGAGUGGCAUGUAUUUAGCAAAUUGGCAUCUGUGACACCUGUCUGAGAAGUAGCCAUUGGAGCAAUUUUUGUUGUUAAACUGGUUGUUUGGCUAGGCACAGUGAUAGACACCUGUAAUCCCAACACUUUGGGAGGCCAAAGUAGGAGGAUUACUUGAGCCCAGGAGUUCCAGACCAGCCUGGACAACAUAGUGGGACCCCCAUCUCUACAAAAAAUUUAAAAAAUAAAAAAAUUAGCUAGGUGCGAUGGCUAACGCCUGUAGUCCCAAUUACUCGGGAGGCUAAGGCAGGAGGAUCACUUGAGCCCGAAAGAUUGAGGCUGCAGUCAGCCGUGAUCACACCACUGUACUCCAGCCUGGGCGACAAAGUGAGUCCCUGUCUCAAACAAACAAACAGUGCCCAAACUUGUUCUUAUAAUCUUGGAAAUACUUUUUCUCUUCAUUUGUCUACACGAAGCAGAGAAAUUAAAACAUGGUAUUCUAUUAAAAAUUCUUAUUUUGGGCCAGGCGCAGUGGCUCUCGCCUGUAACCCCAGCACUUUGGGAGGCUGAGGCAGGUGGAUCACAAGGUCAGGAGAUUGAGACCAUCCUGGCUAACACAGUGAAACCCCGUCUCUACUAAAAAAUACAAAAAAAAAAAAAAAAAAAAAAUUAGCCAGGCAUGGUGGUGGGCACCUGUAGUCCCAGCUACUCGGGAGGCUGAGGCAGGAGAAUGGCGUGAACCUGGGAGGUGGAGCUUGCAGUGAGCUAAGAUCGCGCCACUGCAUUCCAGUCUGGUCGACAGAGUGAGACUGUCUCAAAAAAAAAAAAAAAAAAAUUCUUAUUUUGAGGAGCCUGGGAGUUGUCCUGGAACCUUCCACCUCCCUCGUCACACCAUAGACCCAUAUGAUCGGAGUCUCUCCUGGGUGACUCCAGACCUGAAGCGUGGCUGCAACCCCCUGCUUGGUCCUCCUGCCUCCAGUCUUGGCUUGCUCACCCCUCUCCUCACUCCUCCCACAGGGAUCUUUCAAAACACAGUCAUCCAUGCUGAAAAUCCUGCCCUCAGCUUGAAGCACAGCUCCCCACCCAAUGCCCACCUCCAGGACCAUGGUUCCCAUUGGCCUUUCCAGCCUCAUUUCUCAUGAUUCACUGUUGUGGCUCACUCCAGCUGUGUUGAGCCUGUGGAGCCCCCAGCCCAGAAUGCUCUUCUUCUCCAUUCCCCCAGACAGCCCCCCAGACUGUAUUUACCCGGGGGCCCCCUGCACCACUCUUGUGCCUUACACUGAGGGCAAGACCGUGCGAAGACCGUCUCCCCCAGUGGACCGUCAGUUCUCAUUUCUGUGUCCUUGGCACCAACAGAGCCUGGCAGAGGAAGCCCUCUGCAGGUAUUUGAGGAUGAAUGGGUGGAGGGGUGUGAAUGACCCCAGGAGCUUGCUGAGCCUGAGCACCUGCCCACCGGUCAACAUUAGGCUGGAACACACCUCCCCCUACCUCCCAUGUCCCAUGGCCAGUGCCAGGCUGCAGUGGCGAUGUGUUCUGCCUCCAGCCCAAGCCUUAAGAGCUGCGUGCAUGUUGCCAUGUUUCUUUCCCUGUCAUAGUAGGCAAGGAAGCUGGAAUUAAGAGGUGGCCCCAUGGGCUUGGACCGCAAGUGACUGUGAUGCACAGAACCCCCUGCCCACCUGCACUGGGCACAGCGAACAUCAGUUGUGGGUGGUUGUCAGCUCAGAGUCACCUGGCCUGUCCUGACUCAUCCAGGGCAUUUGCCCCAACCACAGACCACUGUGUAGCUCAGUGUCCCCUCUGUCUCAGAGAGGGGAGCCGCUGUCUUCUUCCUAGCUGCUGAAGCAGAAACUUGGGAAACGUCCUUAAUCUGCCUGCCUCCCAGCCUGCCUUGGCCAGUCAGUCAGUGUGCCUCUUGACACCUGCCUCCUGAGGACGCUCAGCCUGUUCCCUCCCGAUCCCCACUGCCGCCUGCUCAGGCUCAGCCAUCUCCCAGCUGUCCACCUGAGUUUGCUCUGUGUCCCCUCCAGAUGACACAGGUCACACUUUAGUGAUGUUACCAGUUAAUUGUCUGCUUUUCCCAGUAGGUGGUGAGCUGUGGAAAAGCAGGUCUGUGGCGGUGUCCUCAGUACACACUGUGGGUGUUCUGGGAACAGAUAGGGAGGAGAGAUUCCCUGGGUCAAGGAUGCUCUUCCUGAGCAGGUGGCUGGAGCUGUCAUUUCCUGGAGCUCAUUGUGUAACCGGAGCACACUAGGGCUGUCUUUGACCAUGGCCACCUGGCCCCUCCAGCCUGCCCAGGCAGCCCUCAGAGGAGACACAGCACCCCAGUCCCGUCACUGUGUUGGAAUUCCACUCUGUGGAAUUGGUGAAGGCCUGCAAGAUUUUACACAGUCAGCUGGAGGUGGAGAUGGGAGGACCCGCAUCUGUGGUGGGCAUGGGAACAGUGCUGUGGGCAAAUGCAGUGUCUCUUCCAAGGGGCACAUUGCAGGGUAACUUGUCAGUUCUGUUUUGUUCUCAGAGAGGGACUUGACCAAGGCUUUCUGUUUUGUUUUUGUUUUUGAGAUGGGGUCUCGCUCUGUCACCCAGGCUGGAGUAGGGUGGCACAAUCUUGGCUCACUGCAACCUCCACCUCCCAGGUUCAAGUGAUUCUCCUGCCUCAGCCUCCC
Symphalangus syndactylus (siamang) is the source of this 5778-nucleotide RNA transcript. It is a transcript of the gene named ARF GTPase activating protein 3, with no coding region annotated. NCBI's taxonomy places the organism in Eukaryota, Metazoa, Chordata, Mammalia, Primates, Hylobatidae. The record is from RefSeq and is a predicted model, not a curated record.